RNAcentral lists this ribosomal RNA (395 nucleotides) under uncultured bacterium. RNAcentral describes it as "bacterial SSU rRNA". It matches the Rfam family "Bacterial small subunit ribosomal RNA", at positions 362 to 773 of the family's 1533-position model. The record is from RNAcentral.
UAUUGCACAAUGGGGGGAACCCUGAUGCAGCAACGCCGCGUGGGUGAAGGAGUACCCCGGUAUGUAAAGCUCUAUCAGCAGGGAAGAAGAAAGACGGUACCUGACUAAGAAGCCCCGGCUAACUACGUGCCAGCAGCCGCGGUAAUACGUAGGGGGCAAGCGUUAUCCGGAUUUACUGGGUGUAAAGGGAGCGUAGACGGCUGUGCAAGUCUGAAGUGAAAGCCCGUGGCUCAACCGCGGAACUGCUUUGGAAACUGUAUAGCUUGAGUACUGGAGAGGCAGGCGGAAUUCCUAGUGUAGCGGUGAAAUGCGUAGAUAUUAGGAGGAACACCAGUGGCGAAGGCGGCCUGCUGGACAGAAACUGACGUUGAGGCUCGAAAGCGUGGGGAGCAAAC